RNAcentral lists this ribosomal RNA (253 nucleotides) under uncultured bacterium. Its description in RNAcentral is "partial 16S ribosomal RNA". It matches the Rfam family "Bacterial small subunit ribosomal RNA", at positions 524 to 776 of the family's 1533-position model. The record is from RNAcentral.
UACGAAGGGGGCUAGCGUUGCUCGGAAUCACUGGGCGUAAAGGGUGCGUAGGCGGCGCGGUAAGUCGGGUGUGAAAUCUCGGGGCUUAACUCCGAGACUGCAUUCGAUACUGCCGUGCUUGAGGACUGGAGAGGAGACUGGAAUUUACGGUGUAGCGGUGAAAUGCGUAGAUAUCGUAAGGAAGACCAGUGGCGAAGGCGGGUCUCUGGACAGUUCCUGACGCUGAGGCACGAAGGUCAGGGGAGCAAACGGG